Dama dama (fallow deer) is the source of this 109-nucleotide long non-coding RNA. RefSeq lists it as uncharacterized. The record is from RefSeq and is a predicted model, not a curated record. Lineage: Eukaryota; Metazoa; Chordata; Mammalia; Artiodactyla; Cervidae. The transcript is spliced from 3 exons.
CCGGAGUCCGGGAGAAGGUCCGAUUGAGAAGAUCUUGGACCCACAAGUUCUCACUGCUGUGCUGACUAGAGUUAGACACACUGCUACUGACCUUUGAAGAAGCAAGCUU